Molecule: transfer RNA, 67 nt
Filed under: Brasilocerus sp. 2 DTA-2012
Lineage: Eukaryota; Metazoa; Arthropoda; Insecta; Coleoptera; Phengodidae
Description: tRNA-Asp
Source: RNAcentral
AAAAAUUUAGUUAACUUAUAACAUUAACAUGUCAAGUUAAAAUAAUUAGAACAUAUAAUAAUUUUUA